AUCGAUGAAGAACGCAGCGAAAUGUGAUAAGUAAUGUGAAUUGCAGAAUUCAGUGAAUCAUCGAAUCUUUGAACGCACCUUGCGCUCUAUGGUAUUCCGUAGAGCAUGCCUGUUUCAGUGUCAUGAACUCUUCAACCCGCCCUUUUCUUUAUGAUCAGGUGUCGGUGCUUGGAUUCUGAGCUCUUGCUAUUUGUUUAGCUGGCUCGUAAGACAUUAGCAUUUCAAAUUCGUAAUCGGAUUGACUUGGCGUAAUAGACUAUUCGCUGAGGACACUUUUAUAGUGGCCGAGACAAGAAGAGAGAAGCUCCCAACCCCUCUAGUCAAUUUUUAAGAUUAGACCUGAAAUCAGACAGGAUUACCCGCUGAACUUAAGCAUAUCAAUAAGCGGAGGAAAAGAAACUAACAAGGAUUCCCCUAGUAGCGGCGAGCGAAGCGGGAAGAGCUCAAAUUUGUAAUCUGGCACCUUCGGUGUCCGAGUUGUAAUCUCGAGAAGUGUUUUCCGCGCCAGACCGCAUACAAGUCUGUUGGAAUACAGCGUCAUGGUGGGUGAGAACCCCGUAACUGAUGCGGAUGCCUGGUGCUUUGUGAUACACUUUCGAAGAGUCGAGUUGUUUGGGAAUGCAGCUCAAAUUGGGUGGUAAAUUCCAUCUAAAGCUAAAUAUUGGCGAGAGACCGAUAGCGAACAAGUACCGUGAGGGAAAGAUGAAAAGCACUUUGGAAAGAGGGUUAACAGUACGUGAAAUUGUUGGAAGGGAAACGCUUGAAGUCAGACUUGCUUUUUGGAGUUCAGCCGCAAGGUGUAUUCUUCAGUUGGCAGGCCAGCAUCAGUUUUUGGGGGUGCAAAAGCGUUAGGAGAAGGUAGCAGUCUCGGCUGUGUUAUAGCUCUUAACUGGAUUCACCUUUGGGGACUGAGGAACGCAGCGCGCUUUUUGCAAGGUCUUCGGGCCUUUCGCGCUUAGGAUGCUGGUGGAAUGGCUUUAAACGACCCGUCUUGAAACACGG
This 1002-nucleotide ribosomal RNA is filed under the name uncultured fungus. RNAcentral describes it as "eukaryotic LSU rRNA". The stretch from base 336 to 1002 matches the Rfam family "Eukaryotic large subunit ribosomal RNA", at positions 1 to 664 of the family's 3401-position model. Lineage: Eukaryota; Fungi. The record is from RNAcentral.